GUGGGGAAUCUUCCGCAAUGGACGAAAGUCUGACGGAGCAACGCCGCGUGAGUGAAGAAGGUUUUCGGAUCGUAAAGCUCUUUCGUUAGGGACGAACGUGCUCUUUGUAAAUAAUGAGGAGUAAUGACGGUACCUAAAUAAGAAGCCACGGCUAACUACGUGCCAGCAGCCGCGGUAAUACGUAGGUGGCAAGCGUUGUCCGGAAUUAUUGGGCGUAAAGCGCGCGCAGGCGGGAUAUCAAGUCUGUCUUAAAAGUGCGAGGCUCAACCUCGUGAGGGGACAGAAACUGGUAUUCUUGAGUGUCGGAGAGGAAAGUGGAAUUCCAAGUGUAGCGGUGAAAUGCGUAGAGAUUUGGAAGAACACCAGUGGCGAAGGCGACUUUCUGGACGAUGUCUGACGCUGAGGCGCGAAAGCUAGGGGAGCGAACGGGAUUAGAUACCCUAGUAGUCC
This 450-nucleotide ribosomal RNA is filed under the name uncultured bacterium. RNAcentral's name for it is "partial 16S ribosomal RNA". It matches the Rfam family "Bacterial small subunit ribosomal RNA", at positions 354 to 796 of the family's 1533-position model. The record is from RNAcentral.